RNAcentral lists this ribosomal RNA (805 nucleotides) under uncultured Chloroflexota bacterium. RNAcentral's name for it is "bacterial SSU rRNA". It matches the Rfam family "Bacterial small subunit ribosomal RNA", at positions 45 to 885 of the family's 1533-position model. The record is from RNAcentral. Lineage: Bacteria; Bacillati; Chloroflexota.
UGCCUAAUGCAUGCAAGUCGAACGCAGCAGGCGNGCCUGGCUGCGUGGCGAACGGCUGAGGAACACGUGGGUGACCUGCCCCGGAGUGGGGGAUACCCCGUCGAAAGACGGGACAAUCCCGCAUACGCUCGACGGAGGAAAGCCGCAAGGCGCUCUGGGAGGGGCCUGCGGCCCAUCAGGUAGUUGGUGUGGUAACGGCGCACCAAGCCAAUGACGGGUACCCGGUCUGAGAGGACGACCGGGCAGACUGGGACUGAGAGACGGCCCAGACUCCUACGGGAGGCAGCAGCAAGGAAUUUUCCCCAAUGGGCGCAAGCCUGAGGGAGCAACGCCGCGUGGAGGACGACGGCCUUCGGGUUGUAAACUCCUUUCGGGUGGGACGAUGCUGACGGUACCACCAGAAGCAGCCCCGGCUAACUCUGUGCCAGCAGCCGCGGUAAGACAGAGGGGGCAAGCGUUGUCCGGAGUUACUGGGCGUAAAGGGCGCGCAGGCGGUGGGCUGCGUCGGCGCUGAAAGCGCCCCGCUUAACGGGGCGAGGCGCGCCGAUACGAGUCCACUCGAGGCAAGCAGAGGGUGGCGGAAUUCCGGGUGGAGCGGUGAAAUGCGUAGAGAUCCGGAGGAACGCCGGUGGGGAAGCCGGCCACCUGGGCUCGACCUGACGCUGCGGCGCGACAGCGUGGGGAGCAAACCGGAUUAGAUACCCGGGUAGUCCACGCCGUAAACGAUGCCGGCUCGGCGUCUGGCGCACGUUGGUGUGCUGGGUGCCUUAGCUCACGCGGUAAGCCGGCCGCCUGGGGACUACGA